GAGAGAGGUCUGGGACAUGAAGACCUGCUAACUCUUCUUACCAUGGUUCAAGUCCAUGGCUCACUCA
RNAcentral lists this transfer RNA (67 nucleotides) under Sphyrna mokarran (great hammerhead). Its description in RNAcentral is "tRNA-Ser". The record is from RNAcentral. Lineage: Eukaryota; Metazoa; Chordata; Chondrichthyes; Carcharhiniformes; Carcharhinidae.